RNAcentral lists this long non-coding RNA (1391 nucleotides) under Mus musculus (house mouse). RNAcentral describes it as "predicted gene, 37885". The record is from RNAcentral. Lineage: Eukaryota; Metazoa; Chordata; Mammalia; Rodentia; Muridae.
GCCCCACCCAUCCUCUGCCGGUACCUCAUAGAUGCCGAAGCCAAUGGUGUGCAUGUCCUCGCCCAUCUUCCUCUGCCGUCGCCGGUGCUUCUGGAUGAGACCCACCAGGAAGGUCCCAGGCAUCAGGCUUGGCGCCAAGCAUCGUUACCUACUGGGCCAUCUCACUAGCCUGUGGGGUGUGUUUUACCCCAGAGGGCCCAAUAGCAGAGUGAACGUGAGCUGGAAAAGGAAGGAGGGACCACGGACCGGACCAUGAGCUGAUCCAGAGAGUAAAAGAACGCCUGCAGCUGCCUCGGUGACCAGCAGAGGGCAGCGCGCGCCAGGCAGCUGCCGCCCUGGAGGCCCCACCCCGGACAGCCACGUGCUAGCAGGGGGCGUACCUCCUCGGCUCCGGUGACAGAGUACGCAUGUCCUUUCACCAACUUCUGUGAGUGCAUCAGCACCAGCACCAGCACCAGCACCAGCACCAGCACCAGCACCUGAGGCUCCCGCUGCAGAGGGCUGACAUCCGGGGUGGACCCAGCACAACUUUGGGCCAGCUGGGUGAUACACAGCUAGGAUUAGAACCAAGAAGCCAUUCUUACCAGCCACCUGAUUUAUUCUGGGUGAGUUUCUACAGUUUUUCUACCCCUGCAAUGGGUAGCUUUGCCCACUGGCAGAAGCUUUUGGUCUUUUCAGCUAAGAGGCAAUGGGGGCCCACCAGAGAAGCAGAGUUCUUUCUCAAGGCCAGAGCAGACAGCCCCAGAAUGUCCCAGUUCACUUGCUCAGAAAGAGCAAUGACUGUCCUGUACCAGUACAUCAUGUGAACAGCCACCAUACCCAUAUUACCUCCUUGAAUUAAGAGCCAAAUUUGGGCCAAAGUCAUCCUUUUAUAGAACAGAAUGUCUAUUCAAAACAGUCCCCGAAAUAGCUCCCGCUGUUUUGGAGUCCAGGGCAGCAGAGGCAAGAUGGGGUGUUGGGGAAGGGCGUGGUUACUUACUUGGCAUAGGCUUUCUCCAGAAGGGCACUCCAGAACUCACUCCCUUCAGCUGAAUGCACAAAGAGCAGCUCCCCGUCCUUAGUGGGCAGCCUGUCGUCCACCACCACCUCCACCCACUCGCCAUAUUGCCAGAACUGCAAGGCAAGAGGGACAAGAUAGGGUGACACUGGGACUCUGAGCCUUGGCCUCAUCCGGUUCUCCCCAGCCCAGCCCCUUGCUGUGGGUUCCUAUGAUGCUCUUCGGUGUCCUAUGUUAAGUGUGCCCCUCACCAAGCAAGAAGCCAGCGGAGCUCAUCUGUGUCUCCAAAGCCGCAUGCACUUCUUUAAAAAAAUAUCAUCUCUCACUUGCUAUCAUAAAAAGAUUUUUAACCUUUUAUCUCAACCCUCAAAUAAUAAACAUAAAAAAAAACCCU